GGGCCCAUAGCUCAAUGGUAGAGCAACACCCUUUUAAGGUGAUGGUUGGAGGUUCGAAUCCCCCUGGGCUCACUA
This 75-nucleotide transfer RNA is filed under the name Candidatus Woesebacteria bacterium GWB1_43_5. Its description in RNAcentral is "tRNA-Lys". It matches the Rfam family "tRNA". Rfam says of the family: Transfer RNA (tRNA) molecules are approximately 80 nucleotides in length. Their secondary structure includes four short double-helical elements and three loops (D, anti-codon, and T loops). Lineage: Bacteria; Candidatus Woeseibacteriota. The record is from RNAcentral.